CGGGUGAGUAACGCGUAGGUAACCUGCCUGGUAGCGGGGGAUAACUAUUGGAAACGAUAGCUAAUACCGCACGACAACAGUUAUUGCAUGAUAACUGUUUAAAAGGGGCAAUUGCUCCACUACCAGAUGGACCUGCGUUGUAUUAGCUAGUUGGUGAGGUAACGGCCCACCAAGGCGACGAUACAUAGCCGACCUGAGAGGGUGAUCGGCCACACUGGGACUGAGACACGGCCCAG
This 236-nucleotide ribosomal RNA is filed under the name uncultured bacterium. RNAcentral's name for it is "partial 16S ribosomal RNA". It matches the Rfam family "Bacterial small subunit ribosomal RNA", at positions 103 to 334 of the family's 1533-position model. The record is from RNAcentral.